UACGUAGGGGGCAAGCGUUGUCCGGAUUCAUUGGGCAUAAAGAGCGUGUAGGCGGCCAGGUAGGUCCGUUGUGAAAACUCGAGGCUCAACCUCGAGACGUCGAUGGAAACCAUCUGGCUAGAGUCCGGAAGAGGAGAGUGGAAUUCCUGGUGUAGCGGUGAAAUGCGCAGAUAUCAGGAAGAACACCUAUGGCGAAGGCAGCUCUCUGGGACGGUACUGACGCUGAGACGCGAAAGCGUGGGGAGCGAACAGG
Molecule: ribosomal RNA, 253 nt
Filed under: uncultured bacterium
Lineage: Bacteria
Description: partial 16S ribosomal RNA
Rfam family: Bacterial small subunit ribosomal RNA
Source: RNAcentral